Molecule: ribosomal RNA, 795 nt
Filed under: Triticum aestivum (bread wheat)
Lineage: Eukaryota; Viridiplantae; Streptophyta; Magnoliopsida; Poales; Poaceae
Description: partial small subunit ribosomal RNA
Source: RNAcentral
AUGGCACUUGCCACUGAGCUGGAACCUCCCUCCUUCAGAGCAUUGACAACCUCUUCGUUAUCGGAGACCACCUCAAUUUUGCUACAGCACACGUUAGAAGUGUUCAGAACCAGCUUCGGUCAGUCAAGGUCAGCGCGCGGGUCUGGGAAGCUCUUCGCUAUCAGGCACGCCUACAAUGAGCGCUGCAAGUGCUCGCUCGAGGAGGGCGUCGUUGCCCAUGUAACCGGUGACUUCCGCAAGCGCCUACCGGACGGCGCCGUCAUCCCAGCCUCUGGUAGGCGUGGCCGUCACCGCCCUGCAGACUGCCCGACACGCCUUGGGCGCUCUGGAGAGGUUGCUAGCCCGGUCAACGAAGACACCCGGGGCCGCUCGUCCCCUUCCUCGCCACGAUCGACCUCCUGUGACGUGAUUCAGCUCACCUCCGUGAUAGGCGAGGACUCUUGGCUGCAGUGGAUCACUCCCUGUUUUGGCGCCAAGCAACGACAGGCGGCUGUGUGCCCUGCUCUGGCUCCACAGACGCCAACACCUCCCCGUACCACGACCCUGGACAUCAUCGAGAUCAUCCCGUCCUCUCCUGCAGUGCAAGACAGUGGAGCUGCUGCUCCAUCUCCUUCCUCCGAAGCUGAAGCUGAGCCGGCCACCCCGAUCUUUGUCCCGGCGGUCAGCCCGGUUGCUGGCAAUGCCGGCCACCCCUGUUUGUGGCCUGCCGGUCACCCCUGCUCGCUGCACCAAGCUCGCCCUCCCCAAGGCCAAGACCACCGACAAGGAGAAGGAAGACGCUGGCUGGGGUCGUAG